Misgurnus anguillicaudatus (oriental weatherfish) is the source of this 1150-nucleotide non-coding RNA. Lineage: Eukaryota; Metazoa; Chordata; Actinopteri; Cypriniformes; Cobitidae. The record is from RefSeq and is a predicted model, not a curated record.
AAAAACUCCUGGGUUAUUUCUUCAACCCAUAUUCUGGGUUAUUUGUGUUGGGUUAAAAUUAUGGGUUAUUUUUUCAGAGAGUAAUCAUUUUCUGGGUUAUAGGGCUAAUAUUUUGACCCAAUUCCUGGGUUGUUUGGGUUUCUGGGUUAUUUUUCAAAAAUUAACCCAUGUUCUGGGUUAAUGCCCCGCACCUCGCUGUUGUUCUGGAAUUUUCUCACAACAGUCGUUUGAAAUAACUGUCACUUCACGGAGUUCGCGCUCGAUCCGUGUUGGCCUGGGCUUCUUCGGUGCAACUUCGCUGUGUAUUCAAGGUCUUUUUAAAUGGACAGCUUUGUUGCUGAUAAGCUAACUGAGUGGUGGCUGUUUAAGCUGACAGAGACAUUUUUGAGGGCUUAAAGGGAUAGUUCACCCAAAAAUGAAAAUUCUGUCAUCAUUUACAGGCUGUCUACAGUGUUGGGAAGAAGACAAUCCGGCACUCCACUGAAGAGUCCUGGACAGCGUUCAUACACCAAAUGUCUGUUGGAACAAAUAUGGUGGAAUACAGUGGCGGCUCGUGACUGCUCAUCCGAGGAUGCGCUAAUUCAAAAUGAGUGUUCAGAUUGUCACGUGUGUGGUUUCCUUUUCCAAAAUAUGUGUCCUGCGUGUCGAGAGAUCAAAACUGUUUAUGAUAAAAGAGACACUCAUGUUCACAAAAUACACACUAGACACUUUCUUAACAGUAAACUCUGAUUACGCAUGAGAUUAUGCCAGUAUCUGGCAAACGCAAUCAUCUCUUUUAUCAUAAACCCUUUAGACGCGUCUGCAGCAGGCACUUAUUUUGGCAUGACACGUGAUGCACACAGGAUCUCUCAAAGCGCAGAACACAUAUUUGGAAAUAACGAACCACACACAUGACGGGCUACAUACAUGUUGUGACGAACUUCGCAUGGAGCGCCCUCAAAAAAUAAUUCACCGGCCCCCACUGGUGGAAUACCUUCAGCAAUCGAUGCCAUUCCCCUCUGGGAGAUCUUAAGCUGCAGUAAAAGACACAACCAAUGUUUGAAGACUUAAAGCCUCAAGUUCAAUUUAGUUAUUGAACGUUGUCAAAUGUUUGAGAGAGAAUGUUUAAGAGUUGUUUAUUUUUCUAUUUUUCCUUUCUAAUGUUAUUACA